GGGGACAGUGAGGACCAGGAACCUCCAGGUGGCACCUCCGCGUUGGAGGACCCCAAUGGAGCGAUGGGUUCACGGGGCGAUGGGUUCUCGGGGUCUUUGGUGGCUUCUGGGGGACAGUGAGGUCCAGAUGGGGACACGGAGGUGACCCUGAGGUCCAUAUGGAUGUGGGUGACAAUGUGGUGACACUCCUGUCCCCAACCUUGGGGACAGUGAGGACCAGGAACCUCCAGGUGGCACCUCCGCAUUGGAGGACCCCAAUGGAGCGAUGGGUUCAUGGGGCGAUGGGUUCUUGGGGUCUUUGGUGGCUUCUGGGGGACACUGAGGUCAAGAAUGGGACACGGAGGUGACACCGAGGUCCACGUGGCCGUGGGUGACGCCGUGGUGGCCCCGUUGUCCCCAACAGGCGCUGAUGGAGCGCUUCAACGCCGACAAGCGCAUCUUCUGCUUCAUCCUCUCCACCCGCAGCGGCGGGGUGGGGGUCAACCUGGCGGGGGCCGACACCGUCAUCUUCUACGACAGCGACUGGAACCCGACGAUGGACGCACAGGCGCAGGACCGCUGUCACCGCAUCGGCCAAACGCGCGACGUCCACAUCUACCGGUUGAUCAGCGAGCGGACGGUGGAGGAGAACAUCCUGAAGAAAGCCAACCAGAAGCGCAUGCUGGGGGACAUGGCCAUCGAGGGCGGCAACUUCACCACCGCCUACUUCAAGCAGCAAACGAUCCGCGAGCUGUUCGACAUGGCGCCGGAGAAGGACGGGGACAGGGACAAGGACAAGGACAAGGACAGGGACAGGGACAGGGACGGGCCCCCCGAGGAAGAUGAGGACCCCGUGGCCACGCGGCGCACGCACAUCCUCGAGCAGGUCCGGCCCCGUGUCCCCAACCGUGUCCCCAACUGUGUCCCCAGCCGUGUCCUCCUGAUGUCCCCAUCCCUGUCCCCAUCUGUGUCCUCUUGAUGUCCCCAACCGUGUCCCCAACUGUGUCCCCAGCCCUGUCCCCAACCGUGUCCCCAGC
RNAcentral lists this long non-coding RNA (1016 nucleotides) under Numida meleagris (helmeted guineafowl). Its description in RNAcentral is "lncRNA (ENSNMEG00000001356.1)". Lineage: Eukaryota; Metazoa; Chordata; Aves; Galliformes; Numididae. The record is from RNAcentral.